Molecule: ribosomal RNA, 484 nt
Filed under: uncultured bacterium
Lineage: Bacteria
Description: partial 16S ribosomal RNA
Rfam family: Bacterial small subunit ribosomal RNA
Source: RNAcentral
AUUGAACGCUGGCGGCAGGCCUAACACAUGCAAGUCGAGCGGAUGAAGGGAGCUUGCUCCUGGAUUCAGCGGCGGACGGGUGAGUAAUGCCUAGGAAUCUGCCUGGUAGUGGGUGAUAACGUCCGGAAACGGGCGCUAAUACCGCAUACGUCGUGAUGGAGAAAGUGGGGGAUCUUCGGACCUCACGCUAUCAGAUGAGCCUAGGUCGGAUUAGCUAGUUGGUGGGUUAAAGGCCUACCAAGGCGACGAUCCGUAACUGGUCUGAGAGGAUGAUCAGUCACACUGGAACUGAGACACGGUCCAGACUCCUAAGGGAGGCAGCAGUGGGGAAUAUUGGACAAAGGGCGAAAGCCUGAUCCAGCCAUGCCGCGUGUGUGAAGAAGGUCUUCGGAUUGUAAAGCACUUUAAGUUGGGAGGAAGGGCAGUAAGUUAAUACCUUGCUGUUUUGACGUUACCAACAGGAUAAGCACCGGCUAACUUCGUG